Long non-coding RNA from Oncorhynchus nerka (sockeye salmon), 5569 nucleotides. RefSeq lists it as uncharacterized. The record is from RefSeq and is a predicted model, not a curated record. The transcript has 3 exons. Lineage: Eukaryota; Metazoa; Chordata; Actinopteri; Salmoniformes; Salmonidae.
UCCGAUAGGGCAGUUGAUUUGAACUCACACUAUGACACACUUCUCAUUCAUAAGGUUUGCCUUGAAGCCCAGCACAGCGAACACCACCAGAGUAGCCAGGAUGGAGGUGACAAAGUUUAUAAAGGAGACGAGCAUGGCGUCAAAGUGUCAGUUGUUGUCUAUCUUGUUGUAGCUGGAGAAGGAGAUGACUCCACCGAAGCAGGCCAAGGGCAGAAAACACCUGUGUGGCUGCCUCUCUCCACACCUGGGGCUUCCAGCAUCUUCUCCAGCUUGAACACACUAUAACACACCGAUGGACUGGUUGGGGCCUGAUUAUUUUCCUGCUGUAGCAAACUGCUCAAAUGAAGACCCUACAUCUGUAGAAACAUACGUGUUUCACUGCACCUGUGAAAACAUCUACUGGACACCCCUAUCCCGCCCAGGCGGGGGCACACAUAGUUCCACACCUCAAUGCUCCCACGUCGGAUCUUCUGGCCCACAGCCAGCUCCAGGAAGAAGAGCGAGAUGCCGAUGAGGAUGAGGAGGAUGAAGUAUGGGACGAGGUAGGCACCUGAAAGUGGUCAAAGUGUUCCUGCUAUAUUCCUUAUAAUCGACUAUUAGGUACAUGAGUAGUAUUACAGUAAUAAGAAUUGUGGAAAAUGUGGAAAACCUUCCCUUUGAACCUCCCCUGUUGAAUCAAUGAGAGACUUAAUAUUUACUGUUCUCUGAGCUGUUUCUAGAACACUAAUUGCACUUAAUUGUGUCUCAUUACAAAGGCUGUGGGGAAGGGGAGAGGUAGACAGACUGGGUGACAGACAGACAAACCCUAUAGUUGGUGGUCAUGAAAUAUCAGGCCCACUCAGUGGGAGAGGCCAGAGUUCUGUGCCUCAGGAAACGAUGGUGUCUGUCUGUUUGUACUUGACAGUUCUGCAUCACUUCAAUAUGCAAUAGCUUUUUGUUUGCCGACAGCUUCGAAAAUGUUAUAUAUUACUCUCUCACCCCGGGGGGGGGGGGUCGUCUAAAUUUGGUUCUUCCCAGCUUAAUCCAGGAGAGGCUUAAUCAGGAUGCUACUGUGUUUGAUGUGCAGUGGGUGAGUCAUCAACAGUAAGAUGCAAAGGCUUACGCUGGAGCACUAUCACUAAUACUCAUCCUUCAGGAAUGCCAGUUACAUAGCCCAGAUCUCAUAAUGGAUUGAAUAUUACAGCACACAAAAAACAAGGUCCUAGAAUGAAGGAAGACAGAAAGAAGUACAAUCAAUCAUGUACAUAGAAUGUAGUUCAGGAAAGGAAAUGUAAAUCCUGCAUGCUGCUCUUGGCCCCGAGCCAAAGUGUCCUCAGAUCAGUUGACACACACUGUCCUCAUUUAGCCAGAUCCAAUCAAUCACAGGCUAUCUGAACUUGGGUCAACUCACAGCCCUGAUAUACUGUAUAGCAUGCUCACUGAGGUAAAGAUGUGUGCAAUCCGAGAGAGAGGUAAAUAAGGAGAGAGAGGAAAAGGGCAGGAGGCCCAGGCGUUAACCACUCAACACCAUUUAAUGUGGCUGUAAAUGGCUGUCAGGAGGCAAAUUAGGGGUUGAAAGAUGGCUGUCCUUCUGGGCACACGACCAGGCUGCUUGGUUAUAGGAGUCUUUAAAUCCUGCCUAUUAGCAAUAUAUCGGAAGAGAGGGCAUGUGAAAGACAACCCAGUGAGCACUAUCCAUGCCCAUGUCCAUGGAUGUUUCUUUUGGACCAGACUAGAUUUAGCCCAGACAUAGACGUCUAUGAUGGUUCAGAUUUGGUCCGGACCGGAAGUGAUUUGGCUGAAAUAUUAUUGGGCACAGACAACAGCACAAAGCUCAAAGAAGGUAGAAACAACAAUACAUCACACAUUAGCAGCCACAACUGUCAGUAAAAGUGUCCAUGAUUGAGUCUUUGAAUUAAGAAAUUGAGUUAAAACUGUCCAGUUUGAGUGUUUGUUGCAGCUCGUUCCAGUCGGUAACUGCAACAAACUGAAAAGAGGAGCGACCCAGGGAUGUGCGUGCUUUGGGGACCUUUAACAGAAUGUGACUGGCAGAACGGGUGUAGUAUGUGGAGGAUGAGGGCUGCAGUUGAUAUCUCAGAUAGGGCGGAGUGAGGCCUAAGAGGGUUUUAUAAAUAAGCAUCAACCAGUGGGUCUUGCGACGGGUAUACAGAGAUGACCAGUUUACAGAAGAAUAUAGAGUGCAGUGAUGUGUCUUAUAAGGAGAAACUUUGUGACGGGGCAGGGGAAACGACUCACGGCUGGGAUGGUGUUCUUCGGCUUGCAAGCCUCCCCUUUUUUUCUACAAACACAACGAUGGUCAUUAUGGUCAAACAGUUCUAUUUUUGUUUCCUCAGACCAGAGGACAUUGCUCCAAAAAGUACAAUCUUUGUCCCCAUGUGCAGUUGCAAACCGUAGUAUGGCUUUUUUAUGGCGGUUUUGGAGCAGUGACUUCUUCCUUGCUGUGCGGCCUUUCAGGUUAUGUCGAUAUAGGACUCGUUUUACUAUGGCUAUAGAUACUUUUGUACUUGUUUCCUCCAGCAUCUUCAUAAGGUCAUUUGCUGUUGUUCUGGGAUUGAUUUGCACUUUUCACACCAAAGUACAUUCAUCUCCAGGAGAUGUUUGUACAGAUGAACAUAGUUCCUUCAGACGUUUGGAAAUUGCUCCCAAGGAUGAACCAGACUUGUGGAGGUCUACCAUUUUUCCUGAGGUCUUGGCUGAUUUAUUUUGAUUUUCCCAUGAUGUCAAGCAAAGAGGCACUGAGUUUGAAGGUAGGCCUUGAAAUACACCCACAGGUACAUCUCCAAUUGACUCAAAUUAUGUCAAUUAGCCUAUCAGAAGCUUCUAAAUCCAUGACAUCAUUAUCUGGAAUUUUCCAAGCAGUUUUAAAGGCACAGACAACUAAGUGUAUGUAAACUUCUGACCCACUCGAAUUGUGAUUCAGUGAAAUAAUAAGUGAAAUAAUCUGUUUGUAAACAAUUGUUAGAAAAAUUACCUUUGUCAUGCACACAGUAGAAGUCCUAACCGACUUGUCAAAACUGUAGUUCAUUAACAAGAAAUUUGUGGACCAGUUGCAAAACGAGUUUUAAUGACUCCAACCUAAGUGUCUGAAUAUUUAUGAAAAUGUGAUAUUUCAGUUUUUUUUAUUUUAAAAACCCGCUAUUGCUAUUGUGUGUAGAUUGAGGAGAAAAAAACAUAAUUGAAUCCAUUUUAGAAUAAGGCUGUAACGUAACAAAAUGUGUAAAAAGUCAAGGGGUCUGAAUACUUUCCGAAUGCACUGUAUAUUUAGAGUGGUGUUUGUGGAGCUGUGCUCCCCUCUUGGCAGCCCAGUCUGACUGUGAUGGCUGGCCAGUGUAGCUGUCAUGUUGUUCUUUCAGUCUGGGUCACUGAGUAGCCAGGUGAGUAAACACUGAGCACAGGUAAAAUCCUAGAGGAAAACUUGGCUCAGUCUGCUUUCCACCAGACACUGAGAGAUGAUUUCACCUUUCAGCAGGCCAAUAACCGAAAAUAUGAUUUAUAUUUGUUCUUCUACAGUUCUACUUAGAAACACUUCAUGUACUUCUUUUAAAAAAUGUCAGCGUAGAGCCCUGAACUAUAAUAACAAGUAAGCCAUAUCACUCAGCAUUUUGUGGCAGGGCACGCACUUUGUUGAUUCUUGAUGUUCAGUUGUAGAACUGUUCAUCUGUUUUUACUAUUGGAUAUACAUAGUUUUGUCAUGACUUUGCCCUGUUGGGUGAAGUUCAUUAAAAAAAACUUUCCCUCUUUCCCCCCACAGGUUUAUGAUGCCCCCACCCCCCAUAAAUACCUUUCCCCCUUCUCUCUCCACUCUACAAAAAUUGACUUAUGAAAAUCUAUUGUUACCAGAGAGAGACUUUGCAAUACAGUAACAUCAAAAGUUUGGGUAUGGAACAAUAUUUCUGUAAUCCAACCAGUUGAAAGUAUCCGUUGGUACUUAAAACAUUAAUAUUAAAGAAUAUUUGUCACGUUCUGACCUUUAUUUCCUUUGUUUUGUCUUUAUUUAGUAUGGUCAGGGCGUGAGUUGGGGUGGGCACUCUAUGUUCGUGUUUAUAUGUUUUUUCUAUUUCUGUGUUUGGCCUGAUACGGUUCUCAAUCAGAGGCAGCUGUUUAUCGUUGUCCCUGAUUGAGAACCAUAUUUAGGUAGCCUGGGUUUCACUGUUGGUUUGUGGGUGUUUGUUUCCUGUGUCAGUGCCACACUGGACUGUUUCGGUUUGGUUUAGUUCAUGUGAUCGUUUAUUGUUUUGUAUUUCAUAGUGUUCAGGCUUUUCUUAUUAAAAUCGUCAUGGACACUUACCACGCUGCGUAUUGGUCCGAUCCUUGCUACACCUCUUCAGGCAAGGAGGAGGAAAUCUGCCGUUACAAUAUUAACUAAGACAAAAUCAUUUAUAACUGAAUUUUCCCAGUAUAAUAUAGGUUCAGCAAAUCCCCUUCAUGUUUGGGAUACCUUUAAAUGUACCUUCAGGGGUCAUUCAAUUCAAUAUUCAUAAAUCAUUUUAAAAAAGCAGUUUCUGCCUAAAGAAACAAGGGAAAUCCAUGAACUAAAAGUACAGGUAGCUAGCAAUAAAAACGAUACUACAAAAUAAGUUAGAGGAAAAACAACAAACUUGAGGAACUUAUUCAAGAACGAUCUAAUGUAAUCUACUACAAAAACCAAGCAAAAUGGAUGGAAUAUGGAGAAAAAUGCACAAAAUUCUUCCUGAAUCGUCAAUACAAGAACACUAACAAAAAUAAUUUGCAGAAACUUGUUACUGAAGACAGAGUCAUCUAUGAUUCUCUGAAUGAUAUUUUAAAAGAGGAAGCUAAUUAUUUUAGGCAGAUGUUCUCUUUUCCGUCUCAUCUCCCACUGAAUGAAGAUUACGGUAAGGAAUUCUUUCCAAAUAAUAUACAAAAUUUAAAAUUAACAAAUAUACAGAAAGAUCAGUACGAAGGCCAAAUUAGAGGGAGAACUUUUUGAGGCUAUUAAAUCCUUUCAGUCUGGAAAAACCCCAGGGCUUGAUGGCAUACCGGUAGAGGUAUAUUAAGUAUGUUUUUAUAUACUAAAAGCUCCAUUGUUAGAUUGUUUUAACUACUCCUAUAGAAAUGGUAGUCUGUCAGGUACUCAGCAGGAAGAUCUGAUUUCUCUAUUAUUAAAACAAGACCCAGAUGGCAAAUAUAAAGACCCGGUCGAUCUAAAAAACUGGAGGCCCCUUACACAUCAAUGUUGUGAUGCAAAAAUACUAGCGAAAUGCAUAGCACUCAGAAUUAAAAGGGUUUCACCAGGUAUUGUUCAUCCUAAUCAGACAGGUUUUUUAUAUGGAUGAUACAUUGGAGAUAAAAUAUAAAACAUCAAGACACAUAUAAAAAGCCAGGAACGGUAUUUAUAGCGGAUUUUGAAAAGGCAUUUGAUAAAGUAAUACAUGUAAUAGUGCCAGACAUAGUGCACACAAACAUAAAGUAGGCAUUGCUGUUAUGAUUUCAGUUGUUCUUCAUGUCCUUUGUUUUAAAUGUAUUAUUUUGUAGUAUAUAUUUUUUUCAUUGUUGUUUGCUGUUUUCUUCUGUCUUUUCCUUUUUUCUCUGUAGUUCAUUCUCUUGUUAU